GAUGAACGCUGGCGGCGUGCCUAAUACAUGCAAGUCGAGCGAACAGAUGAGGAGCUUGCUCCUCUGACGUUAGCGGCGGACGGGUGAGUAACACGUGGAUAACCUACCUAUAAGACUGGGAUAACUUCGGGAAACCGGAGCUAAUACCGGAUAAUAUAUUGAACCGCAUGGUUCAAUAGUGAAAGACGGUUUUGCUGUCACUUAUAGAUGGAUCCGCGCCGCAUCAGCUAGUUGGUAAGGUAACGGCUUACCAAGGCAACGAUGCGUAGCCGACCUGAGAGGGUGAUCGGCCACACUGGAACUGAGACACGGUCCAGACUCCUACGGGAGGCAGCAGUAGGGAAUCUUCCGCAAUGGGCGAAAGCCUGACGGAGCAACGCCGCGUGAGUGAUGAAGGUCUUCGGAUCGUAAAACUCUGUUAUUGGGGAAGAACAAAUGUGUAAGUAACUAUGCACGUCUUGACGGUACCUAAUCAGAAAGCCACGGCUAACUACGUG
RNAcentral lists this ribosomal RNA (497 nucleotides) under uncultured bacterium. RNAcentral describes it as "partial 16S ribosomal RNA". It matches the Rfam family "Bacterial small subunit ribosomal RNA", at positions 28 to 507 of the family's 1533-position model. The record is from RNAcentral.